CUCAGACUCCAUACCCAGAAAAUGAGCCCUCCCAGGUCUGAUGGAUGGACUUCACUGCAGAAUAAGGGAGAGCUUGCUGAUCCGAGGUUCGCUUCCCAUCUCCUACCUCCGUCAUUAGUGGGCCAUGCACUUACAAUUAUUCCACCUUUUAUGUAAGUAUGUUCCAGUAUUGCCCUCUUUCUGUAGAUGCAUGACAUUUGGUUCAGAAUUUGAAACAACUUCUGAAAGGAUGGCACAGAGAUGCAGAGAUGGGCUAUUUCCAAGAAUUAAAGAAGAAAGCAGGUGUGUUGCAUAAGAAUGUUUCGAGUUCUGAUGUUAUUUUGAGGAUGACUAGUUGUCUGUUUAGAUUAGAAUCACUUUGCUUCUUUUGGGCAAUUUUUCUUAAACUUUGAAAAAUUGAACUAAAUCAUCUAUGACCAAGGUUUUCUUUAAAAUUUUAUACUAGUUUAAUUGUCACAGUCAACAUGGAACCAAUCAGGUAAGGCUCAGCCAUAUCCAAUACAAUAGCCACAUACCAGCUAAAGUGGAUGAACCCUAAGGAGCUAAACAUGAUUGGAACAGCAGGGAAAAUAGCUUUGGUAGCAUACUUUUCUAGUUUUAUCUUUGAUUUCUUUGUUUUCUUGGCUUUUUUUAUAGCCACAGUUCUAGAAGAUCAUUUCCAGUGUCUUUCUUACCUGUAAGAUGUCCUGGGUUAGAGAAAGUGCAAGAAUGUGUUCCUAAUGAAUACUCAGAGUUCAUUGAGCAUAAUAGUUAUUGAGUAGGCUCCUCAAUUGUGGAAGUUCUAGUUAAUUCCUCUGUGAAACUAAAUUGAUGUCUGCAAUAAUACCUACUUAGUGGUGUUACAAAAUUAGAUAAUAGAAUGCAUAUGCAAUGUAUAUUCAAUAAAUAUUAGCUGCUAUUCUACUCAGAACAGCAACCAUUAUUUCCCAGAGGGUUUGUUAAAAUAUAAUUUUUUUUUUUUUGCUUUAUCUCUGUGUCUGAUAAAUAGCAGGCUCUGUAUUUAUUUUUAGGAAGUUCUCUGGGCGUUUCGGAUUCACAUUCAAAUUGGAUUGUUAUUAACCAAAAGGAAAGAGGAAGGAAUUAUGAAGAUCUGAUUUUACUGUUGUUCUUGUCCAAGGAACAGAAUGAGCCCUUGCAUCAUCUCUGUGGUCCAGCUCAGCUCAUCUCACCAGAACAAAAGGUCCAACCUAUCCAAAAAUUAUAGUAUUAUGACUUUUGGCUUUACACAGGAGAAAGAAGAGGUGUACAGGUUCUCCCACAUACAGAAUCAUGACUCACCAUCACUGAUGCCCUCUGAAACAUCGAGACCAGCAGUUUUAUAUAAAAUAAAAGAUAAAAUCCAGCUACUCAAGAGGAGAAAGCAAGAGGAUUCCAAGUUUGAGGCCAGCCUGGGCAGCUUAGUGAGAAUCUCUCCCAAAAUAAAAUAAAAAGGGAUGGGAUGUAGCUCACUGGUAGAGUGUCACUGGAUUCAAUCCCUAGUGUUACAAAAGUAAGUCAACAAACAAACAAAUAAAUAAGUUGUUGUCCUUUAUCAAACUUGAACUCUAUUUCAAACUACAAAUGGCAACUCCAGUUAAGGAUUUUUACUUCUCUAAGUGGAUUUAAUUUUAAAGAGAAAGUGGGUUUUUUGUUUUGUUUUUUUCGGCUGGGGUCUCGCCAUAUGGGAAAACAGAGUUAGAACAAUAGAUCAUUAACUCACAGAAGCUCCUCUUUUUCCCCCUGAUUAAAGGCAUCUCACACUUGGUAUGGUUGUGCAUACCUGUAAUCCCAGCCUCUUAGGAGGCUGAGUAAGGAGGAUCACAAGUUAAAAACUAGUUUCAACAACUUAGUGAGGCCCUAAAAAACUUAGUGAGAUCCUGUCAUAAAAUAAAAAGGGCUUGGGAGACAGCUCAGUGGGAAAGCACCCCCGGGGUUCAAUUACCAGUACCAAAAACAAACCAACAAAAAGCAUCUCACAACCAUACACAGAAUUUCCUACUACCUUAGUACUACUUAUAUGUUUUUCUUUUGCUGUGGCAAAGAAAUAAAUUUAUUAUGCCAAAGUGGAUGUUCUAAAGCCAGCCCUGUCAGAUAAGACAGUUCAAGAAGCUGAUGGGAAAACUUGUCUCCUUUCAGAGAUGGAAUUUUGUUAUUUUGCAGACAUCUCUUUCUAAAUGGGAAAAGCAUACUGGGAUGGUCUCAGAUCUUCUACCAACACUUUUCAUUAUUACCUGAAGCUGCUGAUGUAAUGCAAAUUUUGAGAAUCGGGUAGUAAAAACACACCAGGAAACAUGGUUUCCUUCACCAUAUUUGAACUUCUGAGACCCGCCAUGCAAUAAAACCCCUGAGCUUUCCUACACAACCUGAGUCAGUGACCACAGGUGCUUGCAGUAGACAACACCUGCUCGAUUAAGUAGGAGCGCACCUUGACCAAGAAAUCAAUUCUGAUAGAAUCACCAUAGUUAAAAUCACCAGUUCCUUCAAAC
RNAcentral lists this long non-coding RNA (2465 nucleotides) under Marmota monax (woodchuck). The record is from RNAcentral. Lineage: Eukaryota; Metazoa; Chordata; Mammalia; Rodentia; Sciuridae.